Molecule: unclassified non-coding RNA, 304 nt
Filed under: Hevea brasiliensis (rubber tree)
Lineage: Eukaryota; Viridiplantae; Streptophyta; Magnoliopsida; Malpighiales; Euphorbiaceae
Source: RNAcentral
GGGGUUAUCAAGUUAGAAAGCAUUACAAAAUAAUUUGUUGGGCUGUCGGAAUUCUUGAUAAAGUUGUAUUGCGUUGGAGAAGGAAAGGAGUUGGUUUGAGAGGGUUUCGUAGCGAGGUAGGAUCCAUUGAUGAAAGUGAAGAUGAUGAUAUUAUAACGGUGUUCCGCAAACAAAAGGUGGAAGGAACCAUUGACGAGGCUGUUUCACGAGUGCUAUCCAUGGUUGACUCUCCCGAUGCUCGUCAGCAAUAUCAUCGUAUGCUUCAAGGAUUUCGAGAAGCCAAGGCUGAACUUGAUGGUGCCAG